UACGUAGGUGGCAAGCGUUGUCCGGAUUUACUGGGCGUAAAGCGCGCGUAGGCGGCCCGGUAAGUCCGUUGUGAAAGUCAAAGGCUCAACCUUUGAACGCCGAUGGAUACUGCCGGGCUAGAGUCCGGAAGAGGCGAGUGGAAUUCCUGGUGUAGCGGUGGAAUGCGCAGAUAUCAGGAGGAACACCAAUAGCGAAGGCAGCUCGCUGGGACGGUACUGACGCUGAGGCGCGAAAGCGUGGGGAGCGAACAGG
Molecule: ribosomal RNA, 253 nt
Filed under: uncultured bacterium
Lineage: Bacteria
Description: partial 16S ribosomal RNA
Rfam family: Bacterial small subunit ribosomal RNA
Source: RNAcentral